Pogoniulus pusillus (Red-fronted tinkerbird) is the source of this 1917-nucleotide long non-coding RNA. RefSeq lists it as uncharacterized. The transcript is spliced from 2 exons. NCBI's taxonomy places the organism in Eukaryota, Metazoa, Chordata, Aves, Piciformes, Lybiidae. The record is from RefSeq and is a predicted model, not a curated record.
AGCGGGGGGAGGAGAAGGCGCGCGCCUCCCGUCCUCCUGCCUCCGCGGCCGCGCUCCGGAGCACGGUGCUGGCGGGGCAGGGGAAUGCCGGGCGGCGUCCCGGUCCCCAGGGUGCCGCAGGCUCCUAAAGCGGGAGUGGAAGAAACGGGCCGGGCCCCGCCACAGGGAAGGAGGGAAAAGCGGGGGGGAAGGGCUGACCGCCACGAUCGGAAUAGGCCGCCCAGGCGGGCGCUGCGCGCCCCCGCGCCCCGCGGAUCCCGCCACCAGCCUCCGGCCUCCCUUAAGCUCCCUCCCCGGGGCGCUGGAGCCGCGGGGACGGCGCGGGAAGUAGGGAUGGGCCACUCACUUGUCCUUCUCUGUUCCGAAGAUGGAGGCCAGAUACUCCGCCAUCUCCCACCGCCCGCCCGCCGGACAGCCCGGCGCCCACCCUGGACGUCACAGCCGCCGCGCCGGAAACACUUCUACUGAGCCCUGCAAGGGCGGGGGAGGAGGGAGCGAUGCUCUCUGCGCAUGCGCGGGGCCGACGGCUCCUCCCUCGGGGCGUGGCCUGGGCGGGGUAACCUCUCGCCGCCGCGGGCCUUGGGCGGGUGGGGCGGUGGUGAGGUUUGGGGGUGUAGUUGCUGUGUAGGCGGUUUGCUGUAGGGCGGCUGUGCCACGGUUUUAUGGUGGAGCAGGCCGUGCCGUGAUGGGGGCUCUGUGCUCUUCUUUGGGCUGGUGUCUGGCUCUCACCAGGGCUAGAGCCCUGUCUCUGGCAGAGCAAAGGGGGAAGCGGUGUUCUUUACGCCGGGAGGUAGCGCUCUGAGAAGGGGCGGCAGCAGCCCAGCAAUGACUGAGUGCCCUGUGGUGAAAUGGAGACAGUUCUGUGGGAGCUGAAGUCUUUUACCCGCAGAGACUGGGGUUUUUAAAAUGCAUCCUCUUUGGAAAUGGAACAACAUUUUUAGUAGUGUUUCACUACUUUGACUACAGUUAAUGCCCAGUGAAGGGAGUCUGGCUUUCUGUAACACCUCCUGGAAUUCUUCAGUUGGUUUAAGCUGAUUCAGUGAUGCUGUGACCUGUCACAGGACUAGGAGAGUCUGCUUGGCACUGCUGUAUGUCCUGUUCUUUUUGUAUGUACUCUUUCAAGAUCUGAAUCUCGCCUGCCUGCCACUGCACCUUACUGAGAUGACAGAAGCUUUCUGUCAGAACUUCUGCCAUAUACAGACAGAUUAACUUAUUUUCACUUCUUCCUCCUGCACUCCCUGACUUCUCGUCAAAUUCACAGUUGUGAUACAGGUAUUAGAAGCAGAAAUUCCUGGCCAAGUCAGAAACACUUGUUACCAAAAUACUGCUGCUUGGCUUUGUCUUGCAGUGUCCAUGCCCAGUAAGGUUUUUGUGUUAAAGGACACUUUUUUUUUGCUUAGUUGCUUGCUGUUGGUCUGCCUCCCACCUAGGCUUACCAUUGAAGUUUCAACUCACUAAACAGGCAGAAGCCAAACCCUGCACGAAACAGUCACUUCCUGCUCAUAGUGCAUAAUUGGCUCAUUAAGUUGGGUGUCAGAGUUAGCAGGAGGGAAGAUCAGGACUGCUGCAGCUGUAGUUUGGAGAAAAGGUGAUGAAGGAGUGGGACAACCCCUUUCAACAGCAAGGUAAUGCUGGAUCAGCUCCGUCACCUGCUGUGAGUCUCGACCUAGCCAAAAUCGUCAAAGGAACUAUAACUUCGGUGGCCUGCAAUGAACUUUGACAAAGUAGAACUUACGGUGGUUUUCAUUCUGAAAAUCACCACAGAAAGCAGUCUGCAGUGUCUGUUCACAGAGUAUAUGAUUUGCAUAAGCAGAACAAACUUGCACUGUUUUUUGCUGAAAUGUUUUUGUUAAUGCCUUCAGCUAAAAUAUGUUGAAAUAGGUUUUGCCUGAGUAAUUAAAAUCUGUUUUUGCUCAA